ACUUCCAACCACCGUCUCUCUUCCAUUACUCUCAAAAACCUAAAACCUAGCCGCCACAAUAACCACAAACACCAGCGUACACCCUACCCCCAGGCGACGAACGAUGUAUACCCAUUACUCUCAAAACAACAAAAACCACUAUGUCUUCGUGACGAACGGCGCACACCCAGGCAAAUCGUUAAGGGCUUUGGUAAAAAUGGUCAACAAUUGAACCGCUUCGAAGAGGCCUGCUAGACAAUCAAUAGGUACCAAAAGAGCACGAAAUCUUCAGGAUGGGGACAUCGGGGAAGAUAUGUCAGCUUCAUCAAGUCAUGGAAUACCUCAGGUUAACGAGGCAGCGGCUGAGGAGCAAGCUAAACAAGCUAGGAAUAAGAAGGAUGGCAAUCUAUAUUUCAGGAGAUGUCCUACUGAGUUUGUUUUGGAUGGAUGGAUGUUUGUCCUUUUGUGGAAAACUUAUUCGUUUUGUUUUGAUGAAUGGCUCUAUGUUUUUGUAAUGAAUUAUGGAUUGAUGGUUUUUGCAGAUAAAUUAAGGGAUUCAUAUUAAUG
This is a non-coding RNA of Salvia hispanica, 546 nucleotides long. The record is from RefSeq and is a predicted model, not a curated record. NCBI's taxonomy places the organism in Eukaryota, Viridiplantae, Streptophyta, Magnoliopsida, Lamiales, Lamiaceae.